This 259-nucleotide unclassified non-coding RNA is filed under the name air metagenome. Its description in RNAcentral is "partial contains small subunit ribosomal RNA, internal transcribed spacer 1, and 5.8S ribosomal RNA". The stretch from base 1 to 46 matches the Rfam family "Eukaryotic small subunit ribosomal RNA", at positions 1786 to 1831 of the family's 1831-position model. The record is from RNAcentral.
AAGUCGUAACAAGGUUUCCGUAGGUGAACCUGCGGAAGGAUCAUUAAUGAGUUUGAAUGGGUUGUUGCUGGCCUUUCGAGGCAUGUGCACGCCUUUCUCAAUCCAACCAACACCUGUGAACUUAUGGGGAAGAUGAAGAGUGACGCUGGAUAACGGCUGAUCUCUAAGUCCUCUCUUCUUUACACCAAACUAAAGUUAUAGAACGUCCUUUGCUUAAUGCAAACAAAUACAACUUUCAACAACGGAUCUCUUGGCUCUC